This 403-nucleotide ribosomal RNA is filed under the name uncultured bacterium. RNAcentral's name for it is "partial 16S ribosomal RNA". It matches the Rfam family "Bacterial small subunit ribosomal RNA", at positions 28 to 526 of the family's 1533-position model. The record is from RNAcentral.
GACGAACGCUGGCGGCGUGCCUAAUACAUGCAAGUCGAACGCAGUGGGGACGGGUGAGUAACACGGGGGUAACCUCCCAACAGAGGGGAUAACACUUGGAAAAAGGGGAUAAACCAAUACUGAUGGAGGGACCCGCGGUGCAUUAGGUAGUUGGGGAGGUAACGGCUAACCAGGGCAACGAUGCAUAGCCGACGUGGGAGGGUGUUCGGCCACCCGGGGACUGAGAACCGGCCCAGACUCCUACGGGAGGCAGCAGUAGGGAAUCUUCGGCAAUGGACGAAAGUCGGACCGAGCAACGCCGCGUGAGUGAAGAAGGUUUGCGGAUCGUAAAACUCUUUGGUUAGGGAAGCGGUAGCUAACCAGAAAGCCACGGCUAACUACGUGCCAGCAGCCGCGGUAAUAC